RNAcentral lists this long non-coding RNA (304 nucleotides) under Anser brachyrhynchus (Pink-footed goose). Its description in RNAcentral is "lncRNA (ENSABRG00000008547.1)". The record is from RNAcentral. Lineage: Eukaryota; Metazoa; Chordata; Aves; Anseriformes; Anatidae.
AAUUGAUCAGUAAUGAUCCAGGAGAUCUAUUAGGAGGAUUUAACAGGGACCCAAUGAAUUUUCAAUGUGCAACCAAAAUUAGAACUCAGGCUCUUGGUUUAAAUAUAGUGCAUGUAUGUGUUUGCUUUAAGGGAGCAGCUGUGGAAAGACAGAAGAUGAAAGCUCCCAUUCCAAAUUUGAUUCUCUUGUAUGCUACUCUAACUCAGAGCUUGAAGGUUGUGACCAAAAGAGGAUCAGAUCCACUGGAGAUCUGAAAUAUAUGUGCAUAUCAAAUAUACCACGUUCUCGUAAAACUACAUUGCAG